This 253-nucleotide ribosomal RNA is filed under the name uncultured bacterium. RNAcentral describes it as "partial 16S ribosomal RNA". It matches the Rfam family "Bacterial small subunit ribosomal RNA", at positions 524 to 776 of the family's 1533-position model. The record is from RNAcentral.
UACGAAGGGGGCUAGCGUUGCUCGGAAUUACUGGGCGUAAAGCGCACGUAGGCGGUCUUUUAAGUCGGGGGUGAAAUCCUGGAGCUCAACUCCAGAACUGCCUUCGAUACUGGAAGACUCGAGUCCGGGAGAGGUGAGUGGAACUGCGAGUGUAGAGGUGAAAUUCGUAGAUAUUCGCAAGAACACCAGUGGCGAAGGCGGCUCACUGGCCCGGUACUGACGCUGAGGUGCGAAAGCGUGGGGAGCAAACAGA